UAACUUCGGGAAACCGAAGCUAAUACCGGAUAACAUUUUUGGUUGCAUGACCGAAAAUUGAAAGAUGGCUUUUAGCUAUCACUUACAGAUGGACCCGCGGCGCAUUAGCUAGUUGGUGAGGUAACGGCUCACCAAGGCAACGAUGCGUAGCCGACCUGAGAGGGUGAUCGGCCACACUGGGACUGAGACACGGCCCAGACUCCUACGGGAGGCAGCAGUGG
This 221-nucleotide ribosomal RNA is filed under the name Bacillus sp. m2-9(2006). RNAcentral's name for it is "partial 16S ribosomal RNA". It matches the Rfam family "Bacterial small subunit ribosomal RNA", at positions 144 to 357 of the family's 1533-position model. Lineage: Bacteria; Bacillati; Bacillota; Bacilli; Caryophanales; Bacillaceae. The record is from RNAcentral.